This 594-nucleotide ribosomal RNA is filed under the name uncultured bacterium. Its description in RNAcentral is "bacterial SSU rRNA". It matches the Rfam family "Bacterial small subunit ribosomal RNA", at positions 41 to 645 of the family's 1533-position model. The record is from RNAcentral.
GGCGUGCUUAACAGAUGCGAGUCGAGUGCGCGUUCCGUAUCGAUACGGAAUGGCGCACGGGGCACGGGUGCGUAACACGUGGGUAAGCUGCCCUUUGAUGGGGAAUAACUCCGCGAAAGCGGAGCUGAUUCCGCAUAAGAUCCUCCGCAAGGAUGAUGAAAGCCGUAAGGCGUCGAAGGAGGGGCCCGCGCCCGAUUAGCUUGUUGGUAGGGUAACGGUCUACCAAGGCUAUGAUCGGUAGCUGGUCUGAGAGGAUGGCCAGCCACACUGGAACUGAGACACGGUCCAGACUCCUACGGGAGGCAGCAGUGGGGAAUCUUGCGCAAUGGGCGAAAGCCUGACGCAGCGACGCCGCGUGGGGGAUGAAGCUUCUCGGAGUGUAAACCCCUUUCGACCGGGACGAAUGCCCGCAAGGGAGUGACGGUACCGGUAGAAGAAGCCCCGGCUAACUACGUGCCAGCAGCCGCGGUAAGACGUAGGGGGCCAGCGUUGAUCGGAAUUACUGGGUGUAAAGGGUCAGUAGGCGGUGUGGCAAGUCGGGAGUGAAAUCUAUGGGCUUUACCCAUAGGCUGCUUUCGAAACUGCUGUGCUUGA